AUAACACUGAGCUGCACCACCCAGGUAAACUAGUAUACUAACACUGAGCUGCACCACCCAGGUAAACUAGUACACUAUAACACUGAGCUGCACCACCCAGGUAAACUAGUAUACUAACACUGAGCUGCACCACCCAGGUAAACUAGUAUACUAACACUGAGCUGCACCACCCAGGUAAACUAGUACACUAUAACACUGAGCUGCACCACCCAGGUAAACUAGUACACUAUAACACCAUGCUGCACCACCCAGGUAAACUAGUACACUAUAACACCGAGCUGCACCACCCAGGUAAACUAGUACACUAUAACACCAUGC
Molecule: long non-coding RNA, 318 nt
Organism: Oncorhynchus tshawytscha (Chinook salmon)
Lineage: Eukaryota; Metazoa; Chordata; Actinopteri; Salmoniformes; Salmonidae
Source: Ensembl